UUGAACGCUGGCGGCAUGCUUUACACAUGCAAGUCGAACGGUAACAGGCCGCAAGGUGCUGACGAGUGGCGAACGGGUGAGUAAUGCAUCGGAACGUGCCCAGUCGUGGGGGAUAACGCAGCGAAAGCUGUGCUAAUACCGCAUACGAUCUACGGAUGAAAGCAGGGGACCGCAAGGCCUUGCGCGGACGGAGCGGCCGAUGGCAGAUUAGGUAGUUGGUGGGAUAAAAGCUUACCAAGCCGACGAUCUGUAGCUGGUCUGAGAGGACGACCAGCCACACUGGGACUGAGACACGGCCCAGACUCCUACGGGAGGCAGCAGUGGGGAAUUUUGGACAAUGGGCGCAAGCCUGAUCCAGCCAUGCCGCGUGCAGGAUGAAGGCCUUCGGGUUGUAAACUGCUUUUGUACGGAACGAAAAGACUCUUUCUAAUAAAGAGGGUCCAUGACGGUACCGUAAGAAUAAGCACCGGCUAACUACGU
Molecule: ribosomal RNA, 480 nt
Filed under: uncultured bacterium
Lineage: Bacteria
Description: bacterial SSU rRNA
Rfam family: Bacterial small subunit ribosomal RNA
Source: RNAcentral